Benincasa hispida (wax gourd) is the source of this 928-nucleotide long non-coding RNA. RefSeq lists it as uncharacterized. The record is from RefSeq and is a predicted model, not a curated record. Lineage: Eukaryota; Viridiplantae; Streptophyta; Magnoliopsida; Cucurbitales; Cucurbitaceae.
UUUACUAAAUAAUUUUUGGAGUGACAAAACAAGUUUAAAUUAUACCAAAUAUCAUGAAUUUUAUAGUAGAUUUUGUAACGUCUCGAAAUUUAGGUAAAUUUAAAUUAAUUCAUGAAAUUAUUCGUUUCUUUAAUAAGGCCAAAGUUUAGGCAACUAAAUAAUUUGUGGGGUUGUUAUAUUUAUUUAUUUAUUUAUUUUUUUUUUUUGUUUUGUUUUGUUUUACCUUUUUUAAGAGGAAUUAGGGUUAAGGGUUUGGUUAUUUUAAAAAGGGGACCUCGGGAUGUGUGUAGUAAAGAAAAAAAUAGAAAAGGGAAAAUCUUCUUCUUCUUCUUCUCCUAGCCGCACGCCUCUCUCUCCAAGUCUUCUUCUCCCAGCCGGUCUUCUUCUUCUAGCCGCGCGAUGAGCCCGCCGCCUAGCUGUAGUCGUCGUCGACUGUGCACCAAGAGGCAUCGCCGUUCGAGUCGUGCUGCCAACUGUCAUUCUCUGUCGCACUUGCCAUCGCCGCCCCAGGCAUGUGCCGUGACUGUCUCCGUCGACCUCAGUCGCGUUCGCUGUCGCCGUAAGACGCGAGCCACGUCAUCUGCAGCUACGUUCUACAAUCGUCGUCAGGGCUGUUGACAUCUGCGGCAGUGGUUGUCCAAACAGUGUCGAGCCUACUCGUAUGGCCUCUGUUCGCGCACUGUGGGGAGACUGAGGUGCAGGUUCUAUGGCGUUGUAGCAGCCACCAAAGUCUUCAUUGGUUCUUUUUGGCAAGUUUUGGGGGGCUUUGACUCAAGCCUUUGCUAAUUUAGGAGGGAGUUUCAGGUAUUCGUUUUCUUUUGCGUGGGCCUAAACCCAAGGUAAGCGAUUUACUAACGGUUCGCCCUCGAACCUAAGCAUGUGUACCAUUGGUUCUAAUUGGAAUAUAAUAUUUUGAUAUGUUUGUUUA